AGGUUCAAGAAUAAAUAAUAGAAGGUAGACGUGUAUUUCAUGUUCGUAAAGUGGAUGGUUCAUCAAAGAUCUAUAAUUUUCCAGAGGUAUAUAUUUUUAUUAUUACAAAUCGAGUCACGUGACACGUUUCGGGGAAAUCGAUCUCUUGAAAAAAAACACCCUUGCCUGGUUCUCACUCUUCCAUUGCUGUUUUCUUACGAAGGUUUCUAGCUCGCCUUAUAUUUAAACACCAUGGCAAGUCUAGGAAGUCCCACUUUGGACUGCUUCCGUCAUGGCUCUGUUGUCCAACUCAAGUCCAAAGCUUCAGGAAUGACGCUCACCAUGAGGGAGGGAGGUGUGGUCAGUGGAAAUGGCCCAGUGGGAUUUUAUGUCGGUAGGCUUGGACCCAGGACCCCAGUAUGGGGCAGAUGGACUGAUGGAACCUAUCAUCGCGGGACUAUAACUAAUGUUGACUCCAAAAUCCACAUCAAGUUCAAUGAUGGUGACACAAUAUCACAUGACAUUGCCGACACAACAGCUGUCCUAGCAGAUGUAAAGCCUGACCCUCAAGUCCUCAAGCCAGGGUCACGAGUGAUUGCCCAGUUUCAGAACAGAGCUAAAUAUUAUACUGGUCGGGUUACAGAGGUGGAUAGUCGGGAUGUACUGGCACCAACUUGUCAUAUUCAAUUUGAUGAUGGAGAUAAGGAGUGGGCUGGAGUUCAUCAAAUCAGGAUGUUGCCUGAAGUCAAACCUGCGGACUUGGGGACCCCUCCCAUAGUGGUCAACAGCCGUGUUCUUGGGCGCUUUACCAACAAUCUCUACUACCGCGGAACAGUGACUAAUGUGGGACAGACGAUUGACAUCAAGUUUGACGACGGUGACACCAUCCAGCAUGCACCCAGUGACGUCGGCGCCGUCAUCUAUGACGUCACACCUGCAGUCGGAACAAUACAGGUGGCAUCACGAGUCAUAGGGUACUGGCCCCGAAGCGGCAAGCAUUACUUAGGGAGGGUGGUACAGGUAGACUACAUGAAUCCUCACUACCCCCGCUAUUACGUCAAGUUUGAUGACGGUGACGAGACGUGGUGUAACCUGAACGAGAUUCGGCCUGUGCCUCUCAGCCGAAACCAAGUGGGAUGCGUUGUGUGGGGCCGCUGGACUAACGACUGUUACUACCGCGGGCGCGUGACUGACGUCGGCGACGGCAAGAUCCACGUGACCUUCGAUGACGGCGACAAGGUGUCACAUGAUAUGAGUGACGUCAGUGCCGUACUGGUGGACUUUGCCCCCAACCCCAUGCAUGUGCCUGUCGGUGCACGCGUGAUCGCCUCGUUCCAGGGGCGUCCUAAUUUCUACAAAGGGCGCGUGACGAAAAUUGAUUCCACCAAUCACUAUGCGCCUCGGUACCACGUGACUUAUGACGAUGGGGACAAGGGCUGGGUGAACUGCGACCAAGUUAGGCUUCUGCCCAUGCGCGUGGAUGAAGUUAGUGCUCGUGUCUACGCCAGAUGGACCAAUGGCCUGUUCUAUCCCGGCUCCGUAGAGCGUGUGGAAAGCAAGAUCGAGAUCAAAUUCGACGACGGUGAUCGUAUUGCGCAUGACCCAAGUGACGUCACAGCCAUUAUACUUGAUACCAGUCCCAACCCAGGCUCUGUUGAUCGAGGCUCUCGUGUGAUUGCGGCGUGGCCUGGGAGAAGUAUGUUCUAUCUUGGGACGGUGGACGCGGUAAACAGAGAGCACGUGUACGAGCCUCAGUACCACGUGAUCUACGAUGAUGGUGACAAAGGGUGGGUGACUGUCAAUCAACUGAGGAUUGUCCCCGCCCCAGGACCCGCCCCUGAAGCCCAGUUUAUGGUGACUCAGAUCGGUGGGAAUGUAGUCGCCUUGGCCAGCGUUGCACAUCGGGGCUACUACCUCGGGAUAGAUGGCGCACAAGUCAGAGGGAAGUUCCUUGACAACUACUGUCACUUCUACAUACACGAGUCUCCCGACCAUUACGUUUCUCUGGAGUCAUGCAUGUUGCCGAGGCAACACGUUGGCGUUGACGCAAAUGGAUGCGUGUUGUCACCUGCGAGCUGUUACAAGAGUGAGCCCGCGUUCUUUGAGGCCAAGCUACUGUUCAGUCCGUAUGGUCAGACAUAUGUCCCAGACCACAGAACCACAGGAGGCUACCCAGCACCAACCCCAAGCUAUCCUCAACCCGGGACCUAUCCCCCACCACACCCCUCUUGUGGAUACCCUCAACCCCCUCCUCCACACGGAGGGCACCCUCAUCCUCCCCCACCUACUGGAUAUCCAGGUGGCUACCCUGGCACACACACUGCUCCUCCAGCAGGUGGCUAUCCCACUGGACAGCACCCACCACCACCCCCAGCCGGCUACCCUGGAUAUGGCCCCCCUCCUGCAGGGUACGGCCCAGCUCCGGCAGGGUACGGCCCACCUCCAGCAGGGUAUGGCCCACCUCCAGCAGGGUACGGCCCACCUCCACCUAGCUAUGGUCCACCUCCUCCUUACUAAUGUGUACGUUGGAGCGCUGAUGAGAUGUUGGAGCGCUGAGUAAUGUGCUGUUAAGGGUCCUCUGUCUGGAAAUAGAUUGUUCCGGAUGGCAAUUUUUCGUUGUAUAUCAUAAAAGUAUAUUUACUAAUUUGUACUUCAAACAAAUCGUUGCGUUUGUAAAAUAACUAGAAGAAAUGACUAAGCCUGUCCAACCAUGUUUAAGUUUUGCCUUUGAUUUUUUGUGUCAUACAUAGCCAUUGUAAGGACGGAUAAAGGUCAAAAGAACUUAAGUCGUGAGUCCUUGUAGGUCAUAAUAAGAUCACGUACCAUUGUAUUGUUACGUAUCAUAGAAAGGUCACAUGACCCAGUCAUAAGGUCACGUGUCAUAGAAAUGUCACGUGCCAUUGUAAGUUCACGUGUCAUAGAAAGGUCACGUGCCAUUGUAAGUUCACGCGUCAUAGGAAGGUCAUGUCCCGUAAGAAGAUCACGGGUCACGUGUCAUAGUAAGGUCACGUGACCCAGUCAUAAGGUCACGUGUCAUAGAAGGGUCACGAUCUGACUGCGUUCUGUCAUAAGGUAACAAAAUGUCAAAAUACUUAUGAAUAAAAAUAAUUCAGUUCCCAAAAA
RNA transcript from Nematostella vectensis (starlet sea anemone), 3102 nucleotides. RefSeq lists it as uncharacterized. The record is from RefSeq and is a predicted model, not a curated record. The transcript is spliced from 11 exons. Lineage: Eukaryota; Metazoa; Cnidaria; Anthozoa; Actiniaria; Edwardsiidae.